This 30-nucleotide non-coding RNA is filed under the name Mus musculus (house mouse). The record is from RNAcentral. Lineage: Eukaryota; Metazoa; Chordata; Mammalia; Rodentia; Muridae.
UGGGAACUGAAAAUUCCUAGGGAGCACAGA